CGCGUAGGCGGUGCUGUAAGUCUGUGGUGAAAUCUCUGGGCUCAACUCAGAGUCUGCCAUAGAAACUGCAGUGCUGGAGUGUGGGAGAGGUGAGUGGAAUUCCCGGUGUAGCGGUGAAAUGCAUAGAUAUCGGGAGGAACACCUGUGGCGAAAGCGGCUCACUGGACCACAACUGACGCUGAGGCGCGAAAGCUAGGGGAGCAAACA
RNAcentral lists this ribosomal RNA (207 nucleotides) under uncultured bacterium. RNAcentral describes it as "partial 16S ribosomal RNA". It matches the Rfam family "Bacterial small subunit ribosomal RNA", at positions 568 to 774 of the family's 1533-position model. The record is from RNAcentral.